GACGAACGCUGGCGGCGUGCUUAACACAUGCAAGUCGAACGGAAAGGCCCUGCUUUUGUGGGGUGCUCGAGUGGCGAACGGGUGAGUAACACGUGAGUAACCUGCCCUUGACUUUGGGAUAACUUCAGGGAACUGGGGCUAAUACCGGAUAGGAGCUCCUGCUGCAUGGUGGGGGUUGGAAAGUUUCGGCGGUUGGGGAUGGACUCGCGGCUUAUCAGCUUGUUGGUGGGGUAGUGGCUUACCAAGGCUUUGACGGGUAGCCGGCCUGAGAGGGUGACCGGCCACAUUGGGACUGAGAUACGGCCCAGACUCCUACGGGAGGCAGCAGUGGGGAAUAUUGCACAAUGGGGGGAAGCCUGAUGCAGCAACGCCGCGUGCGGGAUGACGGCCUUCGGGUUGUAAACCGCUUUCGCCUGUGACGAAGCGUGAGUGACGGUAAUGGGUAAAGAAGCACCGGCUAACUACGUG
RNAcentral lists this ribosomal RNA (468 nucleotides) under uncultured bacterium. RNAcentral's name for it is "partial 16S ribosomal RNA". It matches the Rfam family "Bacterial small subunit ribosomal RNA", at positions 28 to 507 of the family's 1533-position model. The record is from RNAcentral.